CGCAAGAAUUGGUCAAAUUUGGAGUAGACUUCACCCUGCGCUUGGUGAAACUUGUACGUCAAGGAUGCAAGAGGCGCCGAAGUAACGCAGCUCCCACCUGUCGCUCUCCGCUGGGCGCCGAGACUAUGGCCGAAGAAUAGCUGCACCGGGAUUGGAGAAAGGAAGCCAUCAGUCUUAGGGAGGCUCCACCUUCCUGCCAUUGCCUGGUUGGAGGAGCGUAGCGUCAGUCACUAGAGCAGUCACCACCUCUGGGACAGGUGAUUUUAAUGGGCUCACCUGAAUGCUGCUAAGCGCUGCCACCCCCAUAUACAGGAAGAUGCCAUAGAGCACAGGCAUUGGAAUGAACUGGUAGAAAGAAGCAGAGAGUUAGCAAAGUUUACCUCUGCCAACCUCCCAGAUGCCCCAGGAUGCCCAGAUGCCCUAGAUCCCUCUAGCGUCUAGCAUCCAGUUCUGCCCAGGCCUUGCCUUUCCUUUCACACUCUUCAUGCCUGAUCUUAUUGAAUCCUCAAAUCAAUUAGAUGAAGUAAAUGUUAUUAUUGCCUUCAUUUUA
Molecule: non-coding RNA, 550 nt
Filed under: Pongo abelii (Sumatran orangutan)
Lineage: Eukaryota; Metazoa; Chordata; Mammalia; Primates; Hominidae
Source: RNAcentral